AUUGAACGCUGGCGGCAGGCCUAACACAUGCAAGUCGAGCGGAUGAAGGGAGCUUGCUCCUGGAUUCAGCGGCGGACGGGUGAGUAAUGCCUAGGAAUCUGCCUGGUAGUGGGGGAUAACGUCCGGAAACGGGCGCUAAUACCGCAUACGUCCUGAGGGAGAAAGUGGGGGAUCUUCGGACCUCACGCUAUCAGAUGAGCCUAGGUCGGAUUAGCUAGUUGGUGGGGUAAAGGCCUACCAAGGCGACGAUCCGUAACUGGUCUGAGAGGAUGAUCAGUCAACCUGGAACUGAGAAACGGUCCCGACUCCUACGGGAGGGCACAGUGGGGAAUAUUGGACAAAGGGGGAAAGGCUGAUCCAGGCAUGCCGGGUGUGUGAAGAAGGUCUUCGGAUUGUAAAGCACUUUAAGUUGGGAGGAAGGGCAGUAAGUUAAUACCUUGCUGUUUUGACGUUACCAACAGAAUAAGCACCGGCUAACUUCGUG
RNAcentral lists this ribosomal RNA (484 nucleotides) under uncultured bacterium. Its description in RNAcentral is "partial 16S ribosomal RNA". It matches the Rfam family "Bacterial small subunit ribosomal RNA", at positions 30 to 507 of the family's 1533-position model. The record is from RNAcentral.